RNAcentral lists this ribosomal RNA (345 nucleotides) under Syncephalis nana. RNAcentral describes it as "bacterial SSU rRNA". It matches the Rfam family "Eukaryotic small subunit ribosomal RNA", at positions 1511 to 1831 of the family's 1831-position model. The record is from RNAcentral. Lineage: Eukaryota; Fungi; Zoopagomycota; Zoopagomycetes; Zoopagales; Piptocephalidaceae.
GCCAACGAGUACUCGUGGCCUGUUAAGCCAUCGAACUCCUCGACCGAAAGGUUGUUUGGGUAAACUCUGAAACUUUGUCGUGCUGGGGAUUGAACCCUGUAUAACGGGGUUAUGAACGAGGAAUUCCUAGUAAGCGUGGUUCAUCAUACCGCGUUGAUUAAGUCCCUGCCCUUUGUACACACCGCCCGUCGCUACUACCGAUUGAACGGCUUAGUGAGGUCUUUGGACUUUUCGUUCCGCCUCGUGUGGAGCGAGAGGGAAGAUUAUCAAACUUGGUCGUUUAGAGGAAGUAAAAGUCGUAACAAGGUAUCCGUAGGUGAACCUGCGGAUGGAUCAUUCAAGUAG